RNAcentral lists this unclassified non-coding RNA (254 nucleotides) under uncultured Gemmatimonadota bacterium. Its description in RNAcentral is "uncultured Gemmatimonadetes bacterium contains 16S-23S intergenic spacer region". It matches the Rfam family "Bacterial small subunit ribosomal RNA", at positions 524 to 776 of the family's 1533-position model. The record is from RNAcentral. Lineage: Bacteria; Pseudomonadati; Gemmatimonadota.
UACGGAGGGUGCAAGCGUUGUUCGGAAUUACUGGGCGUAAAGCGCACGUAGGCGGCUCUUUAAGUCUUUCUGUGAAAUGCCGGGGCUCAACCCCGGACCUGCAGGGGAUACUGGAGGGCUAGAGACUGGUAGAGGCAAGUGGAAUUCCGGGUGUAGCGGUGGAAUGCGUAGAGAUCCGGAAGAACACCGGUGGCGAAGGCGGCUUGCUGGGCCAGGUCUGACGCUGAGGUGCGAAAGCGUGGGGAGCAAACAGG